UACUACAACACCUACAGCUCCUACUACAACACCUACAGCUCCUACUACAACACCUACAGCUCCUACUACAACACCUACAGCUCCUAAUACAACACCUACAGCUCCUAAAACAACAACUGCAGCUCUUAAUACAACAACUGCAGCUCCUAAUACAACAACUGCUGUUCUUACUACAACAAUUACAGCUCCUAAUACAACAACUGCAGCUCCUAAUACAACAACUGCUGUUCUUACUACAACAAUUACAGCUCCUAAUACAACAACUGCAGCUCCUACUACAACAACUGCAGCUCCUAAUACAACAACGGCAACUCUUACUACAACAACUACAGCUCCUAAUACAACAACUGCAACUCUUACUACAACAACUACAGCUCCUAAUACAACAACCACUACUGAGCUACCAGACACUACACACAUGAGCACUAUAACUCCACCUGCAGGACAGUACACCAUGCAUAGUAGGUCUGGAUAUAAGUUGGUACUGAGGGUGAAAUUUACCAUGACAACAGACCUUACCGAAUCUGAAAUCUUGAAGCAGCUUCAGUGGGAACUGAUCAGACGAGGGAUGCCAGAGACCUUUACACUGCAUAUGAGAAUCAUUUCAGGACAGAAUACAAAGAGAGUUACAAACUUUAAUGACGAUGGCCUGUUGGGGGAGAUUUAUGAACCCCGUGUCAUAUCACUUAAUCCGGCAUAGCAAAGACACAACAGAUACCUUACAAUAGAUUACCCUCAAGAUUACACUCUUACCCCAUGUCCUGCCGUAACUGGACCUAAUGUAUUAGGCAACUAAAUAUCUAUAGUACCUUCAGAAAGUUCACAUCUCUUGACUUGUCUCACAUUUUAUGUUACAAAGUGUCAUUAAAAAUGUUUGAAUUGUAUUGUUUUGUAAACGAUCUACACAAAAUACUCUGUAAUGUGGAGAGAGAAAAAGUGGAAGUGGAAUUUAUUUUUGAACAUUUGUAAAUUCAAUAUGAUGUAUUAAUCAACAGUCAGUUGCUAUGUUCUCAUAGUGAAAGUCAUCUAACUCAGAAACUUCAAUUACCCAAACACUUGUAACUGAACUCAAGGCCACUGAUAUUUUUUUUGUUGAUAUUAUAUACUAGGCUAAAUAAUUUGGAAAAUGAGAGAGUUAACAGACUAAGGCAGGGUAUAGGCUAACGGAAAAUAACACGGUCAUUGAGGUGAGAAUCACCACAGGUCAACAUCAUACAUGAACUUCUGUACUUGAACUCAACAAACACUACAGUACAAACAUUCACCAGACUUUGAGGAUGAGAUGGUCUUAUCAACUGAGAGGGAAAAUAUAACAGAAUCCACCAAAACUGCACCGAAAUUAUAGGUUCAUCCAAGGCCACAUUUUAUUUUGAAUCAUUAUUUUUUCAAUCAUUUUUAUCCAGUUGGAUAAACACUCCAAACAGCCUACCCGACCGCUCGGAGGAGUCUGCAUGGUCCUAAAGCAAUCGUUUUGAAUAACAUUCCAAUGAUAAAACUGGUGGGGACAAAAAUGCAAUUUCAGAAUGUGGGGGGGCAUGUCCAUCCCGAGUGAAAGUUGCGCCCCUGGUUUCAUCCACUAGGAGUCGCAUUCCCUAGGCUAUUCGUUCACAUCCAAAUGUGGACAAUGCAGCAACAGUAUUAAUCAGGAUAUGUAAUUAAGACUAACAAAAAUACAAUAAUCAGUUACUGACACGGCAUCACGCAAAAGGGAAAUUCAAUGCAAAAAUGUAUUUAUGUAAAUUCGAGUGUCGUCUGGUUUAGUUGAGGGUCCGUUAUGACGCAUUGGUACAAAGGGAAAAGGGUCGGUCAGGGGUCCUGCUGUUGGAGCUUUUGGUCAAAGGCCUUCGUCAGAGCUCAAGCAUAGGGUGUCUUUCUCUCUAAGUUUGUUAGGGUACUCUGUUUUAAUAUAAUGUUGAUGUGGGUCCCCUUUAGGGAGCGAUGAAGACUCAGUGGUUUGUUGUGAGUAAACAGAGAUGUGGGUUCAGCGGAGUUCCUCUUUGGUGAUUGUUCUGUCUGAGUUGAAUAAAGCUUCCUCGAUCUGUG
Long non-coding RNA from Oncorhynchus tshawytscha (Chinook salmon), 2043 nucleotides. RefSeq lists it as uncharacterized. The record is from RefSeq and is a predicted model, not a curated record. The transcript has 3 exons. NCBI's taxonomy places the organism in Eukaryota, Metazoa, Chordata, Actinopteri, Salmoniformes, Salmonidae.